AGCGGGCUAGGGAAAAAAGGGCGGAAAAUGCAGUGUUGGCGAGGAGCUGGAGUUCCCGGCCUGUGACCUGGGCCGCGUGCUGGACACAGGCCCUGUUUGCCGAGGGGCGCCUCCGUGUCCCGCCAGAGGUGUGCACACGGGUGCACCGACUGCAGCCGCCGGGAUCCUCACGGCUGCACCUGGGAUGGGCCUCGGGGGAGAACCCAGAAGGCCUCCCGCGGCAAACCGCGAGCAGAUCUCACAGACCCUCCAAUGACCUGCAGGCAGCAAUGGAAGCAGCUAGACGUCAAAACCAGGCCAGCUCUUCAUUCCCCGUGGGGGCAUUAAAGAUGCUGUGAGCCUCAGAUGUGGUCCUUGCUGGCCUGUUGAGGCCCCUGGUAAUAUUCCUUUCUUUAAAUAUGUGUUCCUUUGUCACUUUUAAAGUUUAUCCUACUGUGUGUAUUUAUCUAAGCAAAUCAAACCUGUAUAUAUAUAUAUAUAGUGGGAGGUUUAAUAUCAGCUUAGUUAACAUUGUUACAGAAAUGAGAAGUCUUGCGUUAUAUUUUAUAUCAAAUUGAUUCUGAUCUGAG
RNAcentral lists this long non-coding RNA (569 nucleotides) under Fukomys damarensis (Damara mole-rat). RNAcentral describes it as "lncRNA (ENSFDAG00000028645.1)". The record is from RNAcentral. Lineage: Eukaryota; Metazoa; Chordata; Mammalia; Rodentia; Bathyergidae.